CCCGCUGAACUUAAGCAUAUCAAUAAGCGGAGGAAAAGAAACUAACAAGGAUUCCCCUAGUAACGGCGAGUGAAGCGGGAAGAGCUCAAAUUUGAAAGCUGGCGCCUUCGGCGUCCGCAUUGUAAUCUCGAGAGUUGUUUUCCGUGCUGGACCAUGUACAAGUUCCUUGGAAUAGGACGUCAUAGAGGGUGAGAAUCCCGUACUUGACAUGGCCGCCCAGUGCUUUGUGAUACAACCUCAACGAGUCGAGUUGUUUGGGAAUGCAGCUCAAAAUGGGUGGUAAAUUCCAUCUAAAGCUAAAUAUUGGGGAGAGACCGAUAGCGAACAAGUACCGUGAGGGAAAGAUGAAAAGCACUUUGGAAAGAGAGUUAAACAGUACGUGAAAUUGUCAAAAGGGAAGCGCUUGAAGUUAGUUAUGCUUGCUGGGACUCAGCCUUGCUUUUGCUUGGUGCAUCUCCUAGUAUGCAGGUCAGCAUCGGUUUUGUCUGCUGGAUAAGGGUAGAAGGAACGUGGCACCCUCGGGUGUGUUAUAGCCUCUUACUGGAUACAGCGGACGGGACCGAGGAACGCAGCGCGCCUCACGGCGGACCUUCGGGUACCUUCGCGCUUAGGAUGCUGGCGUAAUAGCUUUAAGCGGCCCGUCUUGAAACACGG
This 654-nucleotide ribosomal RNA is filed under the name uncultured fungus. RNAcentral describes it as "eukaryotic LSU rRNA". It matches the Rfam family "Eukaryotic large subunit ribosomal RNA", at positions 24 to 664 of the family's 3401-position model. The record is from RNAcentral. Lineage: Eukaryota; Fungi.